GCAACAUUUACAUUUUCAGCGGUCCAACACAUGCUUUAUUUUGCACUGUAAACUAACCUUUUUAUUGCAACAGGUUCCUUUUAAAUGAUCCAGUGUAAUAACUACUGCUUGUGUCUUCUAUGUCUCACAUUAUGUGUUAUUUUAAAUUGUGGUAUAUAGCCUGAAUCAGACAUCAUGGACAAAAGGUUUUUACCUGUGUUACUAAGGGCUCUUGGAGACUGACCGGUCUAAAGGUUUGCCAUGCCUUUAAAACAUGGUAUAGUAUAAAUUUUUUAAGUCUCUGAGAGUUCUGAAAGAUUCAGGUGAAACCAUGUCUGUUUAAUCUGGUCCAGAUGUUUGCAAAAAAAAUUUCUGUAAGAUUUAAGUUGAUGCAGCAUCAUCUCAGAUUAGUUAAUGGAAGUUUUAUACAAAUAGUUGAGUUAUGAGCGCGCUAUAUAAAUGGAUCCUUUCUUUAAAUACAAUACUAUAGUAGAUUAAAGUAAUGAUGUUAAUUAAGAAAAUGUAUACAUAAGAAUCCCUAAAAUAAAUCUAAACUAAAAUUGGUAUACCUUCCAAUAAUAUGUUCUGAAUACAGCUGUUAACUGUUUAUUCUGUGUAAAUGGUGAUUGUGAUAAUGUGUGAAGUGUGCAGUUUAACUUGAAAGUGGUUUAAUUUAUAUGUUGCUGUAUUGUUUUAAAUUAUAUGUGAAUCAGUUUGUCACAGUCUAGUGAUACUGAUAAGAAUGACAGCCAAAUAACCUAGCAAAUAACUGUUUUAUUAGUUGUUGAAUACUAGCGUUUUGGCCAAGAAUAGUUGGAGAUUUGGAGGUGUUAGUUUAAGAUUGCUUUUAUAUUGUGUCUAUCUGUGUUUCCUAGGAAGGAGACAGAGUGUGUAGUUGUGUGCCCAUAAAUGUGAUUUCUGUAUUGGCAUAUCUGCUGGGUACCCAUUAUGUGUUUCUACAAAGAUAUUGUUUUAUGAGAUGACUAAUAUUACAUGGGAUGCUGAGUAUGAGUUAUAUGGUUUGAAAUGAAUUGGUGAUUAUGAGCUUAGUACUUCAGUAAGAUGUGCUAAAAUUUGGAACAAGGUGGAAGCUGAAAUGUUGGGAUUAUGGAAGAAUAGGUAGUCUAUAUUCACUGCUUUGGCAUAUAAGCAAGAUGCAAAGGAAGAGAUUGGUAAUAUGAUUUUUGUAAAGAAAUUUUACAAGUGUUGGAAGGAUGAGGCAGGUUUGAUGUCUGGAGAUGAUAUAGAUCUUUUUAAAAUACAGUCAUGCCUUGGUAAUAUGUUGCCACAGUAUUAUUUGCUUGUGAAACAAUUGAUUUCAGACUGGGCCAAUUUGGAUAGCUCAGAUUUUCUUACCAAGGUUAUAGAAAAGGAAAAUGCAGGUUGUUUUGAAUUAAGAAAAGAUUUAGGAAAGUAAGGUUGCUUAUUAUGCUCAGGGAUUGCAACACAGUCCACCUACACAGGCUGAGAGCGUGGAUGGGAUGGAGCACAUAAAGCCCGUGGAAGGGGUGGUCAAAGAGGGGCAAGGGGAUGGAGACAGGGAAAUCAGGGUUAUAGGGGUAACCAAGGAGGAAUAGAUAGGAACACUUGUUUCAACUGUGGCCAAUAUGGCCACUGGAGGAAUGAGUGUCCACACCCUAGGAAACCCCAGGAAACCCCAGACACCCCAACAACCCCACAAUUCUCAAAAUAUGCCCUGUAGGCAAGAACAACACCAGACCCACUCCCAACACCACUGGCCAGCAUAUCGCUUAGUUCAGGACUUUAGAGCCCUGAAUAGUUUAAUUGUGCCCAUUUCACCCAUUGUCCCUGAUGUGACAUCCCUCAUUACAGCCAUUCCACAUGAUGCCACUUGCUUCACUGUCAUUGAUUUAAGUAAUGCAUUUUUUUUUUCUAUACCUAUUGAUCAAGAGACACAGCUACUUAUGGUUUUUACUUUUUGAAGGCUGUCAGUUUACCUGGACACGCUUACCCAAGGCUAUGUGGAUUCCCCAGCUGUUUAUUCGUUGGUACUCCAACAUACUCUAACAAACAUGGACCACCGGUCAUGGUUCCGUCCUUUUUGCAAAAUGUUGAUGAUUUGUUGUUAUGUAGCCCUAGCUCUGAGGCAAGCACUGUGGAUACUGUCAGCAACUGUAGGUCACAAGGCUGUUAAACACAAAAUGCAAUUGUGUAAAUCAAAGGUUGAAUACUUAGGUUUUGUUCUGGCUUUAGGCACCAGACAAUUGAGUCCAAAACGUAUUGAGGUCAUUCAGAGGAUUCCUACACCCACUACUCGGAAGGAGUUGCUCACCUUCCUCGGCAUGAUUAAUUACUGCCACCAUGGAUCCGUGAAUGCUCCCAUUAUGAUUCAAUCCUAAGGGAGGCUGUACGUUCUGACAGCCCUGAAAAUGUCUGCUGGUCACCAGACAUGCUAGCUGCAUAUAUUGCCCUUACAGUUGUUAUUGUGCAAGCCCAGGCUUUAGGACUACCUGUGUAUUGUAAACCAUUUCAUUUGUAUGCUUGGGACAAUUGUAAAACCAUGGCCAGAGUCUGUGCACAAGAGCAAGGAGGCGGUAUGCGUCCCAUAGCAUUCUUUUCCAAAGUAGUUCGAGCUCCGGUACAGGGUAUGCCGGCGUGUCUCAGAGCAUUGAUAGCAUGUGCAAUGGCUGUUGAAACUGCUACUACUAUCACACUAGGGCAUCCUACAAUACUUUAUGCCAGUCACCAGGUCACUCAGCUGACAAAUCUCACCACACAACACAUGACAGCCCAGCGCUUCAGUGGUUAUGAGAUUCUUUUUUUUUUCUUUUUUUUAAUACCCAGAAUCUGUUUUUGGAUUAAAUAAGGUUUAGAGAAAGAUCAGAAUGAUCUGUUCUCUAAAGAGGGGAGAAUAGGCAUACUUGAAGAAUAGGCAUACUUGAAGCAAGCGGAUUUAUUUUCAUCAGUCAGGCACAUAGCAAGCACCAUUCAAUUCCUCAUGAAUUCAUUUUAUAUUAGGAAUCUCAGGCAGCAUGUACAGUCUUUUGUAAGAUCGUGUGAACGCUGCUCUUUUUACACACUUACAGAUUGAUUUUAUUCAUGUAUCCAAAAUUGGUAAGAAACAGCAAUACUUACUGGUCAUAGUUAAUCAGUUUAGUAGAUGGCAUGAGGCCUUUGUGAUAUCUAGGGAAGAUUCUAGUGAAGAUUAUUGUUACUGAAAUUAUUCCCAGGUAUGGCUGCCCUCUGCAGAUUGGCUCUGAUAAAGGCCCGGUUUUUGCAAGUGGGGUUGCCCAGGAACUUGCUAAAUUCUUGCAAGUUACCUGGCAGUUUCAUAUACCCUAUCAUCCACAGAAUACAGGGGUAGUUGAAAGGAUGAAUAGGACUAUUAAGGAAAAGCCCAGAAUUUACCCAGGAACAUGGGUAAAUUGGACUAGAUAUCUACCAGCUAUUUUAGCUGAGAUAAGAAUAUAUCCCCACAAGGUGAAUUGUUGAUAAAACCGAAUGGUAUGUAUGACAAUGUUUCUUCGCAGUUUUCCCUUACCUUCACAGGAACCUACUCAUUCAUACCAGCCCGGUGACAAGGUGUAUAUCCGUCAGCUGAACAGGACCAAGAAAGGAGGAUACCCUUUUGGACCACCUGCUACUGUGAUUGCUGUAACCAGAACCGCUGUCCUCACAGAUUCACAUGACAUCUGGAUUCACGCAUCCCGAGUGAAGCUGUGUCCAAAGAGGGGAACCAAGGAAGACAACACCACUCCUCGCUCGGAAACAGAAGAAUUUCUCCUCAGCGAAGCAUCAUGGCUUUUACACCAUAUCGUAGAUUGAGAGGAUCAUACGUACCUGAGACCAAGAUUAUGUUGUGUGCUAUGCUUUCUGGAGUUGUUAUACUCCCUCUGAUAUUGUUCCUUGAAUGCCAUUAUGAGUACAAGUCAAUGGCAAGUUCUGGAAAAAGACUCUGACAUGAUGAACAAUUCUUCAAUACCCCCAGCCCAAUUAGGCCUUAGCCCCUCAUCUAGCAUUCGUCACACACGCCCCCUCAAGAACCUUUCUCCACCACCUUUCUAUCAGCAUGCAAUAUGCAAUCAUUCAUUCAAUGAACGCAUUUGGAUGAAUUGGACAAAUAGUAACCCUUAUAAGUACCAGUUACCCAUAUGAAAUGUGUCUACAGCUAAUGAAACCGAUGCAUUAUGUUUGUUUGAAGGUUCACAGAAAAUUGUUAGAUCUUAUAACGCAGAAAUGUGCACAGUUAAGGUUGCAUAUCAAUGUAAAUAGACAGGCCUUAUUACUUUUAAUAAUGAUUAUAUAACUGGUAUCAUUAAUUGGAAAAGGGGACAAAUGUUAGUCAUUAUGAACGACACUACAAUUGAGAACUAUACACUACCUUAUAUUUUUACACCUUAUUACUGUCCUUCAUCCACUAUCAUAGAACCAAAAGUCAAACACGACACACACACACCUAUUCCGUCCACAUGUGUUAAUACAACUGCCUUCUUACAAGCUGUACAUGUGUCAUUAAAAAUCACUACUCCUGUUGUAACAUUAUGUAACACAGCAAACAAAAGGCAGAAAAGGGAAUGGUAUGACACACUGUUAGGAGGUGCUGGAACCACUAUGGGUAUACUAAAUAGUUAUAGAUAUGGAGACCCUCAAGAAUAAGUUAAACACAGCCAGCAUGCAUAUAGGGACUGGUUUUCAUGCUACUGCAAAUUGGGCUCCAACUGUUGUUAAAUCACAGGUUACAGGAUUGGAUUUAGAUAAAUCAAUGUAUAAUUAUUUAGAUAAUUUAACUGUUGCAACUAUGAAAUUCACUACAGGUUUAAGUAACUGGAGUACCAGUGCCAUCAGGUAUUUAUGGAUACAACAACAAGGAUUGGCAUUAGAAAACACACUAAUGAUUCCCAAACUAGAGAAGAUUAGAGGAAAGCGUAACCUCACAGAUAAUGAAUGGUUACUUCUAAAACCCCAAUCCAGUAAAUGCAAUGGAUGGUUAACUGGUAAUGUUUCACAUUUUUCACGCUCUUGCUAUUUUACAUUAUAUCAUACAUCAGCAAAGGAUGUUAAAUUAGCUUGUCAAUUUAACACAUUGCCAGUACCAGUUUAUGAUCUUUUUGCCAAGAAUUUAACCUGGUUGGCACCCACAUACACAGGGGACUAUAUUUUUCCCAAAGAUAACAUACACAGGUAGCCACACAUAUCCUAAAAGGAGAACUCCUUAAGGUGAGUUCACAAAUUCAGAAUGAUUUAGCCCAUAAUUGGUACAAUGCUUUACUGGUUGGUCCCCUACUGGAUCUCAGAUAAUGAAAUCAUUCUUAUAUCAUUUUGUUAUUAUAGUCCUGAUUUUAUUGUGUAUGAUUUUAUAUAACUGUCACCUUAGUUGUACAUUGAGGAAGAGAGUACAGAAAUGAAUCCAUAAUGCAGAACAGAAACAAUUAGAAAUUCUCCUCUCUGCCACUGGAGGGUAUCAACCCAUCUUUAAACUGGGCCUUAGGAAUUACCACAUGGGAAUCGAGGUGAAGAAAUUAAUGAAAGUCCCGCAGGGAGUGACUAGCACCCCUGAAAAUACCAUGUGGAAGUUUCUCUGUCCUGGUAAGAUUUUAUCGAUAAGAUGAGCAAUUGUUUUAUUGCUCAAAGAGGGGAAUGUAAGAAUAUUAAAUAGUUAACUUGUUUAUAUGUAUUUUAUGCUUUUAUAAGGUUUAUAACAUGAUUAUUGCUGACUGAAGGAAUAUUGAAUACUUAAAAGUCAAUGUACGACAUAAUAUGCUGACUGUGACAGACUAAGGUAUUUCUUCUAUAGGAUGUAAGACAAUGCUAAAUUUCAGGAUGUCUUGCCCAUUCCGAUUUUAAGGAUAUUCUUUUCCAGACGUAUGCAAAAGCUUAUCUUUCCAUUGUCAGAAUAACGUAAUACAAGGAAGUAAUAAAUCUUAUAGUCUGUACUGUAUUUGCAUAUACCAUGGCUAAUGUAAGCAAACUAUGUAUAAAAGCCAGCUCUGGAAUACACUCAUUUGAGAGUCUUGUAAAGCUGUUGUCCGUGUGUUAUUGCUUACAAUGAUCCUCCAUCAACGUUGAUUAUGGUGACCGAGGGAUCGAGAACCGAG
Molecule: long non-coding RNA, 6035 nt
Filed under: Pelobates cultripes (western spadefoot toad)
Lineage: Eukaryota; Metazoa; Chordata; Amphibia; Anura; Pelobatidae
Source: RNAcentral